CCUACGGGAGGCUGCAGUGGGGAAUAUUGGACAAUGGGGGGAACCCUGAUCCAGCGACGCCGCGUGAGUGAAGAAGUAUUUCGGUAUGUAAAGCUCUAUCAGCAGGGACGAAAGAAAUGACGGUACAUGACUAAGAAGCCCAGGCUAACUACGUGCAAGCAGCCGCGGUAAUACGUAGGGGGCACGCGUUAUGCGGAUUUACUGGGUGUAAAGGGAGCGUAGGCAGUGAUGCAAGUCUGAAGGGAAAGGCGGGGGCCUAAACCCCGGACGGGUUUUGAAACUGUAUGGCUGGAGUGCAGGAGAGGGAAGUGGAAUUCCUAGUGUAGCGGUGAAAUGCGUAGAUAUUAGGAGGAACACCAGUGGCGAAGGCGGCUUACGGGACUGUAACUGACGUUGAGGCUCGAAAGCGUGGGGAGCAAACAGGAUUAGAUACCCGUGUAGUC
RNAcentral lists this ribosomal RNA (443 nucleotides) under uncultured bacterium. RNAcentral's name for it is "partial 16S ribosomal RNA". It matches the Rfam family "Bacterial small subunit ribosomal RNA", at positions 338 to 795 of the family's 1533-position model. The record is from RNAcentral.